GACGAACGCUGGCGGCGUGCUUAACACAUGCAAGUCGAACGGUGAAGCGCCUUCCUUUUUGGUGGGUGUGGAUGAGUGGCGAACGGGUGAGUAACACGUGAGUAACCUGCCCCCUUCUUCUGGAUAACCGCAUGAAAGUGUGGCUAAUACGGGAUAUUCUGGGUCUGUCGCAUGAUGGGUCUGGGAAAGAUAUUGUUUCGGUGGGGGGUGGGCUCGCGGCCUAUCAGCUUGUUGGUGGGGUGAUGGCCUACCAAGGCGGUGACGGGUAGCCGGCCUGAGAGGGUGGACGGUCACACUGGGACUGAGACACGGCCCAGACUCCUACGGGAGGCAGCAGUGGGGAAUAUUGCACAAUGGGCGCAAGCCUGAUGCAGCGACGCCGCGUGAGGGAUGGAGGCCGUCGGGUUGUGAACCUCUUUCGCCAGUGAAGCAGGCCUGCCUCGUUUGUGGGUGGGUUGACGGUAGCUGGAUAAGAAGCGCCGGCUAACUACGUG
This 494-nucleotide ribosomal RNA is filed under the name uncultured bacterium. RNAcentral's name for it is "partial 16S ribosomal RNA". It matches the Rfam family "Bacterial small subunit ribosomal RNA", at positions 28 to 507 of the family's 1533-position model. The record is from RNAcentral.